CAUUUACAAAGGUGCUUUUGUAUAAGCUCAUCUGACUUCUCCAUGGCCAAGGGGGAGAUCUACUAAUUGGCUUUUUACCAUUAUAGAAAAAGAAUUGUGGCGAGCCAUUUGGGUUGAUCCUAACUGAAAAGUCCCCGAACCCAGGGUCUUCGGCUGAUCUCCACGAUGUUAGGAACCGAUCAAUUCCUAAUUUUCGAUCCAGCCCCAGUUUCAUUCCAGGAAGCAGGAUGUUCGUAGGAUAAUCGAAGCUUUGCCAUACAGUUUUUCUGCUUCUUUUCCUGACCAAUAUCAAAUUUCCUGAAUCCAAGAGUUGAGCUGCACAAGUAUCAUUUUCUUCCACUGAAACAUUUGAAGACCACACAGGAAGCUUUUGGUCAUCGUUUCCAUAGAGAACGAGGUUUCCAUAUUGAUUUAUAAAGAGAACUCCAGAGGAACCAAUGAUUGGAUCGUUCCUGUUUGCAACCCACACCACAGUUUGUUCUGGUAUUUUAUGGUACCAAAUUCCAAGAUAUCUAUUGCUAGAACUACCUGGACUGAAAAAUCCCAGUGCGAAAUUAUUUCCUUUGGAGAUAAGAAGGUCACCUUCUUUAAUGGUUUGGUUCGUCUUUAAGGAGUCUUGGGAUGUACAAGAUGAGAAUUGGAGCAUUAAAAGAGAAAAAAGCAGGAACAGUUUUUCA
Molecule: long non-coding RNA, 677 nt
Organism: Populus euphratica (Euphrates poplar)
Lineage: Eukaryota; Viridiplantae; Streptophyta; Magnoliopsida; Malpighiales; Salicaceae
Exons: 2
Source: RefSeq, a predicted model, not a curated record